UGCUAAGAGGACUGAGCCCUCUAAGCUGAGACUUGUUUGUGACUUUGCCAGCAAGUAGUCCAAGGCUCAACCCUCUAUCGGUUCCCCACACAGAGGGACUGCCAUUUUCAGAAACACUUUCCCUAGAUGCCAGUGAUGAAUUUAUUGAGUGCCUGAGUCAUCAGUGGAAGAACUGCCAGUCUCUGUUGUUUGGUUUGUAAAAUAAUGAAGGCUUUUUCCUAAGAAAUGUUGGGUGUUCUAUUAACUUUAUAGGUUAGUUUAUAAGGAGAUCUGGGCUUUCCAAGCAUGAUGAGUUGAAAAACUUUUUUGGGUUGUCAACCAUUUUUGCCCUUGGGGCAACAGUAUGGUGCAGAAAUUAGCUCAGCAGUUGUUGUCAAAUUUACACUGCUGCCCAUAUUUUCCUAAGAAACACGGUGGACACUCUAGUUCUCAUGUGAAGAUGGAUGAUUUGAGACACAGAGAUCACUCCAAAGAGGGGGUAGCUGUGACAACCUCAAGUAUGUCUGGGAGCAUGAAUUUUUUUUCUUGUUUGCAAGGGAUGCCAAUACAUGUGAAGGGAAUAUCUUGCCCAGGUUUUGCAGAGGGCCAUAUGCCCUAAUGCCUACAAUUUCAUGGGUGAUGGUCACUGGUUUGAGGACCAUAGCAGUGAGGGGGAACCCUUUCACUUCAGGAAAACUGACCUAAUUGUUGUUGGACGAGACUGCAGCCCAUUAGAUGGAAUGGUCCUCAUCUAACUGUGCAUCCAGGAAUUAUUUGGGGGAAAAGACUACAGGAGCUCUGUGGACACAGAUCGUAGGGACCCCAGGUAUGUUUAUCUUCUGUGGAGCAGUCAUUGUCAUUGAUUAUAAUCAAGAUGUUUUGUGGCUCUUUUGUCUUCUCAAAUGUUCCCAUCAGAGCCAUUGGUGCUCAGGCAGCAAAACAAUGAUGGAGACAAAGGCUGUCUUGACUCAAAGUAUGUGGCUUUGUGGGUUUGGGUGAAAGUUCUUCAUCGUUUGUUACAUUUUCUGUACUGACAUGAGACUCACCCAGAGGGUAUGUGAAUGUGGAAUGAAUAUAGAAUUGUGAAACCUGUGCUUCAAAAAUAGGUGACCAUACAUUUGUUUUUAUCUUGAACCAUUUUUAACAGCUGUAAUGAGUAAGUUACAUGUGUUAAGUAUAGUGUUUCAUAAACCUUGACAUGUGCCAGAAACUGAAACCAUCAUUAUAGUCAUAAUGCUGACUAUAUGUUUCACUGUGUAUUUGCUUCAUGUCCUAUUUUAACCUGUCCCUGUUCUUCACAGCUUUCCUAGUUUCCAUGGAUUUACAUCCCAUUUUCAUAGAAAACUAUUUUUUUAAGUAUUUUUCUGCUUUAAUUUUUUUUUCAUAAAUACUUGGAGAUUUUUUCAAGUUAUAUUAGUACCUCAAGGUUUUUUCUAAUAGAUAUUCUUUUU
Myotis brandtii (Brandt's bat) is the source of this 1430-nucleotide long non-coding RNA. RefSeq lists it as uncharacterized. The transcript is spliced from 2 exons. The record is from RefSeq and is a predicted model, not a curated record. NCBI's taxonomy places the organism in Eukaryota, Metazoa, Chordata, Mammalia, Chiroptera, Vespertilionidae.